GAGAGAGAGAGAGAGAGAGAGACAAAGAUAGAGAUAGAGACACGUAAGAAAUCUAGCAGCGGCAAGUGGCAAUGUCGCGGUUGACGUUUUUCUGGCGAAAGAAGUUUAAUAGUGACGUGACGAUUUCUACAUGUGGAAAGGUACAAUCAAUAAUUGCGGUAAUCGAUGGCAAUUGAGAGAAUGCUUGAUCAGCGUAGUAACGUUCAUAUAUGCGCGUUAGAUGACGCUAAUGAGUUCGAUCACUGGCUCCAUCUCGAUCAAUGAUCAGUUUUGUUCGCGCAAUUCGAGAUGAGAGAUGAAUGUAAAACGUGAAAUGUCAAUGACGUUUUAAAAGUAUAUUUGUGAUAAGAAAAACAACUUACAUUAGUUUGCAAGAGGAAAGAAAUUGUGUACAUGUGCGUGUGAUUCCAAAUAUUUUUAUAAAACAGAGGCUGUUAAGGAAAAGAAGAAGGAGAAUAAUAAAGAUUGCAUGACAUAUAAAAAGGUGCUAAAUAGAAUGAAAGCCAACGACUUUGAAUCUUCGUAUAGGACAUCCUCCAGAAUUCCCAGUGUUACUUCGUCCAAGAUAAAGCUCGGUGCAUUUGGACGAGCUCGGAAAAUUGGAUGCGAGCGGAAUGUCGCUUCGGUGCUUCUUCAGCAACGGCAAGCGCUUCGUGUCGUUCACGAAAACAUCGAUGUUACGCCGAAACCAUUAAUUCAUACGGCCUUCAGCGUCAUUGACGAGAACCAGACAACCGCUUUGGAGAACACCGGACUAUUCCAGAUGGGAAGCGGUUCCCAACUGAUGGCAUCUCCUUCGAGAAUCAGUAGUCUUAGAGCUAGUUCGUCCAUUCUUUUCAGAUCUUCCUCGAUGCCGUCCGACGAUUUGCAAAUGGAGAGUUUGCUUUCGACGCAAAUUUCCGAGUCUUUGCCCGUCCAGGAGGACGAGGAUGUCGCGCCGUCGCCAUUUUUUCUGUCUAGCGAUGACUUGACCAUAUUUGCGGAUCGUCCAGAAACCGUGACGAUCACGUUGAAGGAAACGCAGACAUACUUCAUUUUCGAGAUGCCGCAGAUGACCGAAGAUUUGCGAACGCCCGAGGGGAAGAUAAUUCAACAGGAGAAUAAGAAUUACGAAUACGUGACAAUAGGACCAAGUUCCAAUCGGAAGCUACUGGAUGCUGAAACGCAAACAAUACGCGUGUUGACAAAAUCGCGUGGCACCUAUUUAGGCAUGAGACCUCGUAGAAAUCAGGGCAUAUUUGUGAACAAUUGGGUGAUUCAUGAUACUUAUGCAUCACCAGAAUUGAUGACAGAAAAGAAUGGGCGUAUGAUUGUACGUACAAGAGAAUCGAUGAGCCGGAUGCGAGAAGCGCAGAAACUUCAAUACAAGCUCCCUGAAUCUGAAGCAAUCCCAGAUGCGAGUCCCGAAGAACAAUUGUCUCACAUUUGCCGACAAACACGUUUCUUAGAUGCCGCGUGCGUGAUGGAGCGCAUAAUCGCCAAUAACGUGUUCGCAAUGGCGCAAAAGCGCUUUACAGGCUUGACUAAGUGUGAUCCGUGCGCCCUAGAUCUGGAGUUUGAUUAUCGACUUGAUCUACUGUGGACAUACGCGUGUGAAAUGACGCAUGAUCGUCCUGUAGCAGCGUUUCGUUGUAGUCCGAUCAAUCCGCAUCUCCUCGCUGUCGCUUACGAUGCCAAGAUUAGUUCCGAUAAGACGAAUGGACUCUUACUAAUCUGGUGUGCUAAGAACCCUAGUCAGCCUGGUCGCGAAUAUACGUUUGAUAGUCCGCUGUCCGAUAUCGAUUGGAGUAAGGAGCGACCAAAUCUUUUAGCGAUCGGUUUCUAUGACGGAAGUGUCAAGGUCAUUGAUGUCAGCAGUAAGAAGAUGAAUGUCAUCAGGCAGAGUUGCAGGGAGACAUCGGUGGCUUGCUCACCACACUGGCAGGUGCAGUGGUGGAGCGGCGACGAGCAGUUCGAUUUUCAAGAGCAAAUUUACACUAGUGAUCAAGACGGUCGAAUAUAUUGCUAUCGUUUUAGCGAAGAUUUCUUUGCCACAGAAAUCAUGCGCUUGUAUAGAGUCGAAGGUAAAGUGGCUGGAGUUUCUAGAACUGACCAUUGCGUGGCUUAUGAUGUGCCCAUCAGCCGUCAACCGAGCGCUCUUGUUCUUCGAAGGCAUCCCAUCGUCAAUAACAUUUACUUUGUCGGCUCCGACGAAGGUUGCGUUUAUCGAUGCUCCACAAAUUAUUUACGUCAACACGUGGACAGUUUUCUGGCGCAUGACGGCCCGAUUUAUUCUCUCGAGUUUUCGCCUUUUUGCCGGAAAUUAUUUUUAACCUGCGGCGCCGAUUGGUGCAUCAGGAUCUGGGCCGAAGGCCUUACCGAACCGCUUAUUAUUCUGUCGACGGCGAUGGCAUGUGUGAGAAGCGCCUGCUGGAGUCCUACAUGUUCCACUAUCAUCGCCAGCAUUGUCAACGACCAAAUCUGUGUGUGGGAUAUUCGUAGAAAAAUACACAUUCCGUCGUCGGUGACCAUAUCAACGAAUGGGACGAGAUUGGUCGCCGUUGAAUUCACGGCGAACGGGAAUCAGUUGAUAGUCGCUGAUAUCGAAGGAGUUAUUUAUGUCUAUAAUCUUGAAGGCAUGCCAUUUCCGCCGUAUAAUCAAGCAAAAGUAUUAAUCGAGUCCAUCCAGAAGGCAUUAGUGACCAAACCAGAAUUGCUGAGGAAGUUGAGAAAGCUUGAUUCGUCAUUCUGAUUGUUUGAUUUUCGACGCAAUGUAUAUAACGAGAAAAUUGCCACGGCAGGAAAUUAUCGCUAGGGUCUCUACUGCUUCGAUAUUUCGAGAAUCGCAACAUUGCAUAUCGAUAUAUUUCGAGCCGCCAUCUUAGUCGCGAAACGCGUUGCGGGUCGCAAUCGCGGUCAUCAAAGUCGCAUUCAAAUUGUUCCGUAUUUUUUGCGAGUGUAAUUGUGAGUGUUCCAAAAGUGAAUCUUGUGCGCGAGUGUCACGAAUGUUUCUCGUAAGUGUCGGGCGUUCGAAACAUUUGUGUUAAACGCGAGUGCCGUUGUUAUACACCUACACGGAUAUCUAUGGAGCAACGUGAUUUGCGUGAAUUGCCUGGAUAUGGAUUACAUUGAAAGCACAUCUUCGUAUUUUUCACGUUAUCUUCUCUUCGCAGCAAAGAGGUGCUGCGAAAGUGCAAUUUAUGCACGCCAGGAAGAGGUUCUAUUUCACAAACUAAACGACGUUCGCUAGACUCUACAGAUAAACUCUACACGAGGAUCUGAAGAAGCGACACUCCUGGAGCAGCGAAACCGAUUAUCAAUUUGUUGGAACAGAAA
Nylanderia fulva is the source of this 3315-nucleotide non-coding RNA. Lineage: Eukaryota; Metazoa; Arthropoda; Insecta; Hymenoptera; Formicidae. The record is from RefSeq and is a predicted model, not a curated record.